GAUUCAGUCCACACUGGGUAACAAUUGGGCUUUUAUUAUCAAUUAUAAAGGCAAGAGAAAAUAUUGAAUGAAUACAAUGCGUUCUUCAUGCCAAUAGUCUUCUUCCUUAGUGAUAAUAUAUGCCAUUUUAGCACCCAUUUUGGAUGAUGCCACAUCGGUGUUCCUGGCUUUCUGCUUCUUCUUCUUUUGCGACAUAUCAGUGCCCCACUGCUCUUGUUUUCUACUUCUUCUUCUUCUUCAGUUUGUUGCAAGUGGGUUUUGAAAGUUGAGAUUUUGAUUUGUAUUAUGGUCUAGGUUCUGCCCUUCGUGCGUCCAUGGCUCUAUGCGACUGCAAGUCCUUCCAUUUAGGUUUGCGAUUCCAAGGGAAACCAUGGUGAUUGGUGUAUGUGAAAUUGCAAAAUUGUGAUGGUGAUCGAUUUUCAUUUUCAUAAUAAUCCGUCAUCAUCACCUUGCUUGCUGCACUCGGCAUUGUUGUUGACCUACUGGUGUUCCUUGGAAUGCCGCCAUUCGAAGAUCAUGCCCUAUAAUAUUUAAAUUUGCCACCCAUUUGUAAAUCUUUCCGUGGCUCUAUAUGUCGCGAGUUCAGAUUUUUCCACACGGCUCGUUGAUAAGAAGGAAGUCUGCAAGUCCUGCUAAGGGGCAUUUGGACAAGUGCUCUCACACAUCAUGUCUUUUUCCCUUUUUUGGUAUUUCGACUCUGCCGCUUUUGUGUUGCUCCCUUCUGUAUCUUAAAUUUAUAAUUUUUUUUUCUUGGUAGAUUUUUUUUAUUUAAUAAAAGUUUGAAAUUUUACGUUA
Molecule: long non-coding RNA, 795 nt
Organism: Hevea brasiliensis (rubber tree)
Lineage: Eukaryota; Viridiplantae; Streptophyta; Magnoliopsida; Malpighiales; Euphorbiaceae
Exons: 3
Source: RefSeq, a predicted model, not a curated record